ACUUAAAUAGCUUAUGUAGAGUAUGAUAUUGAAGAUAUCAGGGAAGUUAAUUUAACUUUUAAGUA
RNAcentral lists this transfer RNA (65 nucleotides) under Goliathus goliatus. Its description in RNAcentral is "tRNA-Phe". Lineage: Eukaryota; Metazoa; Arthropoda; Insecta; Coleoptera; Scarabaeidae. The record is from RNAcentral. RNAcentral also lists the same sequence under 1 other name.